UACGAAGGGGGCUAGCGUUGCUCGGAAUGACUGGGCGUAAAGGGCGCGUAGGCGGCUUGUAGAGUCGGAUGUGAAAUUCCUGGGCUUAACCUCCGGCCUGCAGUGGGUACGGGCAAACUAGAGUGCGGUAGGGGAGAUUGGAAUUCCUGGUGUAGCGGUGAAAUGCGUAGAUAUCGGGAGGAACACCAGUGGCGAAGGCGACUUCCUGGCCUGUUCUUGACGCUGAGGCGCGAAAGCUAGGGGAGCAAACGGG
This 253-nucleotide ribosomal RNA is filed under the name uncultured bacterium. RNAcentral's name for it is "partial 16S ribosomal RNA". It matches the Rfam family "Bacterial small subunit ribosomal RNA", at positions 524 to 776 of the family's 1533-position model. The record is from RNAcentral.